GAAGCAUAAUUUUUUGAUACCUGG
This 24-nucleotide non-coding RNA is filed under the name Cricetulus griseus (Chinese hamster). Lineage: Eukaryota; Metazoa; Chordata; Mammalia; Rodentia; Cricetidae. The record is from RNAcentral.